This is a non-coding RNA of Odocoileus virginianus texanus, 665 nucleotides long. The record is from RefSeq and is a predicted model, not a curated record. NCBI's taxonomy places the organism in Eukaryota, Metazoa, Chordata, Mammalia, Artiodactyla, Cervidae.
UGUCGUACUGUCCAUAUUGCUCUUCCUCAAUACUCAUGACUUUCUCAAGCCCCAUGUAGUCUCUAAGACAGCCAGUCAAGAUAAGUGAGGCCACUGAACUGUGCUACAAUAAGCACGAUGAUAUUCCCAACUGCAACUGUCAACAACCAGGCCGCCUGGAGUACAGACUUCAUGCUAGAGGGAGCCUAGAGAAGACACAAAUCUACAAACAUACAGGGAGAAUUCCAUGAGAAGAUGAAAGUGAAGACUGGGGUGAUUCUUCUGUACACCAAGCAACACCAAACAUUGCCAGAAAACCACUAAAAACUAAAGGAAGCUAAAUGAAAUGGAUUCUUUCUCACAGCUCUCAGAAGGAAACUACUCUACCAACACCUUGGUCUUGGACUUCUAGCCUUCAUGACUGUAAGACAAUAAAUUUAUGUUCUUUAAGCCAUUCAGCCUGUGGUACUUUGUUACAGUGGCCCUAGAAAACUAAUACAGCUAGGUUGCUUUAACAGCAGAAAAUCAAUUAAUGCACCAUAGCAAUAGAAAAUCACAUGAUUUUCAGUAGACAUAGAAAAAGCAUUUGACAAAAUUCAAUGCCUCCACCCACUUUCCUAGUAAAAAACAUACAAACAAAAACCACAACAGACUAGGAAUAGAAGGGAACUUAACCUAAUACCCAG